GCUCUCUGUAAACUUUUCUAUAAAAUCAAUUUUUGUGGUUCAAGAGUUUGAGCUGAUCUUCCUAGAUUCUGACGCUCAUCAGUCUGCAGUGUUUUCUCCUCAGUGUGGGAGUCUGACCCCCUGAUACGGCAACGCAGAGAGGUCAACUGGUUUUAAAACGACCUUUAAUGGGUUCCAGUGGUUCCAGAGGGAGGCUGCUGUGAGUUCUUGGAGUCGCUCCAAAGACGGGCAUGCAGGGAACGCAGCAGCAGAACCUGGAAACAUGUUCAUGAAGCGGACGGAGUCCGAGCUGAUUGCAGAGAACGAAUCAGAGAGGAGCAGCAGGAGGAGGAGGUGGCAGCAUCAUACUGUGGGGAGACAGAUGGAGCCAAAUCCAUCAGCGGCAGCAGAGACCUCAGUCUGGGGUCAAGGGUCACCUUUCAGCAGGAGAACCAGCCUGAACACCCAGCUAGAGUUAGAACGGCCUAGUCAAAGUCCAGAACUAAAUGAGGAGUGUCAGUGUGGAAUAUUUAGCCUUCCUCCGCUGCUGCGUCACGCUGCCAUGCGCCACGCGCAUGGCGACACGCACGCGCCUCCUCCUCCUCCUCUUCCUCAUUUCCGUGAUCUGCUGGAGUUGAGUUGCGCGUGCAGAGCAGAGCAGACGCAGGUCCGUUUCCACAGAGGGUUCAGAUUCUGAUCAGCACGAGCUUCGGGUCGGUUCGGGUCCAUUCUCCCGCUGCUGCUCAGAGGCAUGAGCCUGCAGAACCGGCUCUCUCUCCUGCUGAUGAGGAUGAUGAAGGUCCCGCUCCACGCGCUCCGGCGGCCCCGCGCGCAGCUCUAAGAUGACACCGGGACUCGGAGCGCGGAUCCACACCAACCCGGGGUAACACGACACAUAGACACAACAGGAAGCGGAAAGUUCGGGUCCCGAGAGACGGAGAGGGAGAGUCCGGGCGCAGAGCGCGGAGCGGCGGGGAGAGGAGGCGCAGCGAGCCGCAGAGGAGAGGAGAGAAGCUGAACUCUGUCAGCAGGUCCAGUGAUGCUGCUGCCGCGGACCUCCGUCCGGUCCGCGCUCCUCAUCCUCCUCCUCCUCUUCAUCCUGCUGCAGACGCCGGGACGCUGCCACGCGGCCGCCCGGCACCGGGGCUCCGGUCCCCGGGCAGAGGCGCGCGGGGGCCUCCACAGCCUGGCGCAGCUGGCCGGCCGGUAUCGGAGCGGCCCGGUGGGCUUCAGCGGGCACGAAGCGGCGGGUGUGAAACGGCCGAGCCGGUCGAACCACGAAGGUCACCUCAGCGAUCCGAAGCACAAGGAGAAGUUCAUCACUCACAUGACAGGUCCUCUUUACUUCAAGCCUCAGUGCCGGAAACAGUUCCACCGACUCUACAACCACACCAGGGACUGCACGGUUCCCGCCUUCAGGCCUGAUGGCUGCAGGCGGCCGCGCUGCGCCGCGCCACACCCGGCGGCCCGGCGGCCCGGCUAGGUAAACCUCGUGAUGCUGCAGGUCAUGUCUCCUUUUAGCAGGUCCUCUUCAGCCUCAUAAACACGUUUGUUGUUUCCUUCUGCUGCAGUUUAUAAAAGAUGUGCUCGUCUGCUGACUCAACUGGCCAAGAGCCCUCGCUGUGCUGGGAGAUAAACAGACCGCGAGAUGCCGGUGGACAGGAAGUGGUCUCCGUACGCCAUGUUAGUUCCCUCUGAUGACCAGCAGUUGACGUUUUGCAGCCAAGAGAAACUUGAUGUCAAAGUUCAAACUGUUCAUAUCCAGCAACAAAGAACAGAUGAACCCGUUCAGAUGAACUCGUUCAGUUCUCCUGUUUCUCUCGGACCCACAGACUCUCUGAAUCUUCCACCUUAAACAGUUCAUGAAAUGUUGAUUCCAGUUUAUCUGCUCUCUGCUGCCUUCCAGAGCAACUGGACCCAGUGGCUUUACUGGUUUCUGAUGGACCGUCUGCUCUGGAAACAAACCUGGGACAUUUUUAUCAGAGUUUGACUUGUCCAUUGAGUUGAACCAUUGAUGACUGAUGAACCUUCAGGGUUCAAAGGUCAUCAGUUCAUCAAAGUAAAGCUAUUCCAGUGUAUUUAUAUUGUUCAAACUGCCUCCCUCUGUGCAAUAUGUACAUACUGAAAGAGGAAUAAAGAAACAUUUGAUACGUUU
Gambusia affinis (western mosquitofish) is the source of this 2134-nucleotide RNA transcript. It is a transcript of the gene named ALK and LTK ligand 2b, with no coding region annotated. The transcript has 8 exons. The record is from RefSeq and is a predicted model, not a curated record. Lineage: Eukaryota; Metazoa; Chordata; Actinopteri; Cyprinodontiformes; Poeciliidae.